AGAUUGAACGCUGGCGGCAGGCUUAACACAUGCAAGUCGAGCGGAGAGAGGUAGCUUGCUACUGAUCUUAGCGGCGGACGGGUGAGUAAUACUUAGGAAUCUGGCUAUUAGUGGGGGACAACAUUUCGAAAGGGAUGCUAAUACCGCAUACGUCCUACGGGAGAAAGCAGGGGAUCUUCGGACCUUGCGCUAAUAGAUGAGCCUAAGUCGGAUUAGCUAGUUGGUGGGGUAAAGGCCUACCAAGGCGACGAUCUGUAGCGGGUCUGAGAGGAUGAUCCGCCACACUGGGACUGAGACACGGCCCAGACUCCUACGGGAGGCAGCAGUGGGGAAUAUUGGACAAUGGGGGGAACCCUGAUCCAGCCAUGCCGCGUGUGUGAAGAAGGCCUUAUGGUUGUAAAGCACUUUAAGCGAGGAGGAGGGUACUGGUAUUAAUACUACCAGGUACUGGACGUUACUCGCAGAAUAAGCACCGGCUAACUCUGUGCCAGCAGCCGCGGUA
Molecule: ribosomal RNA, 502 nt
Filed under: Acinetobacter sp.
Lineage: Bacteria; Pseudomonadati; Pseudomonadota; Gammaproteobacteria; Moraxellales; Moraxellaceae
Description: bacterial SSU rRNA
Rfam family: Bacterial small subunit ribosomal RNA
Source: RNAcentral